AACAAGGUUUCCGUAGGUGAACCUGCGGAAGGAUCAUUAUCGUACAAUGGGGGUACCAGGGCUGUCGCUGACUUUUCGUCGUGACGCCCUGAGUGCUCUCACAUACAAUAUCCAUCUCACCCCUUUGUGCAUCACCGCGUGUGUCCCCCCUUCCUCGGAAGGGGGUGCUCACGUUUUUAACAUCAAACACCCUAGUGUAGAAUGUUCCUUGCGCGAUCACGCGCGAAUCAAUACAACUUUCAACAACGGAUCUCUUGGCUCUCGCAUCGAUGAAGAACGCAGCGAAAUGCGAUACGUAAUGUGAAUUGCAGAAUUCAGUGAAUCAUCGAAUCUUUGAACGCACCUUGCGCCCCUUGGCAUUCCGAGGGGCACACCCGUUUGAGUGUCGUGAACAUCCUCAACCUGCUUCGUUCUAUCGAACCAAGUAGGCUUGGAAUUUGGAGGUUUUUCUGCUGGCUUCCUCUGAAGCCCAGCUCCUCUUAAAUCUAUCAGUGGGAUCCGCUUUGCUAGAUCCUCGACGUUGAUAAGAUGUUUCUACGUCUUGGGUUUCGCUCGGGAAGGACCUGCUUCUAACCGUCCCCAUCGGGGACAAUGUUCGAGAGCCGAUCGCCCUUCACGGGGUGGGAAGCUUUUCGACCCAUGAAACCUUGACCUCAAAUCGGGUGAGACUACCCGCUGAACUUAAGCAUAUCAAUA
This 696-nucleotide ribosomal RNA is filed under the name Russula chloroides. RNAcentral describes it as "eukaryotic LSU rRNA". The stretch from base 235 to 388 matches the Rfam family "5.8S ribosomal RNA". The record is from RNAcentral. Lineage: Eukaryota; Fungi; Basidiomycota; Agaricomycetes; Russulales; Russulaceae.